UGAACGCUGGCGGCGUGCUUAACACAUGCAAGUCGAACGGGAAACCUUUUAUUGAAGCUUCGGCAGAUUUAGCUGGUUUCUAGUGGCGGACGGGUGAGUAACGCGUUGGUAACCUGCCCUAUACAGGGGGAUAACAACCAGAAAUGGUUGCUAAUACCGCAUAAGCGCACAGGGCCGCAUGGUCCGGUGUGAAAAACUCCGGUGGUAUAGGAUGGACCCGCGUUGGAUUAGCCAGUUGGCAGGGUAACGGCCUACCAAAGCGACGAUCCAUAGCCGGCCUGAGAGGGUGAACGGCCACAUUGGGACUGAGACACGGCCCAGACUCCUACGGGAGGCAGCAGUGGGGAAUAUUGCACAAUGGGGGAAACCCUGAUGCAGCGACGCCGCGUGAAGGAAGAAGUAUCUCGGUAUGUAAACUUCUAUCAGCAGGGAAGAUAGUGACGGUACCUGACUAAGAAGCCCCGGCUAACUACGUG
This 476-nucleotide ribosomal RNA is filed under the name uncultured bacterium. Its description in RNAcentral is "partial 16S ribosomal RNA". It matches the Rfam family "Bacterial small subunit ribosomal RNA", at positions 30 to 507 of the family's 1533-position model. The record is from RNAcentral.